RNAcentral lists this ribosomal RNA (355 nucleotides) under uncultured bacterium. Its description in RNAcentral is "partial 16S ribosomal RNA". It matches the Rfam family "Bacterial small subunit ribosomal RNA", at positions 338 to 691 of the family's 1533-position model. The record is from RNAcentral.
CCUACGGGAGGCAGCAGUGAGGAAUAUUGGUCAAUGGGCGCGAGCCUGAACCAGCCAAGUCGCGUGAGGGAAGACGGUCCUAUGGAUUGUAAACCUCUUUUGUCGGGGAGCAAAAGACGCCACGCGUGGCGUUCCGAGAUUACCCGAAGAAAAACCAGCGGCUAACUCCGGGGCAGCAGCCGCGGUAAUACGGAGGAUGCGACCGUUAUCCGGAUUUAUUGGGUUUAAAGGGUGCGCAGGAGGAAGAUCAAGUCAGCGGUAAAAUUGAGAGGCUCAACCUCUUCGAGCCGUUGAAACUGGUUUUCUUGAGUGAGCGAGAAGUAUGCGGAAAGCGUGGUGUAGCGGUGAAAUGCAU